GAAUACCAAAAAAAAAAACAUUUUCUCCCAAAUCAAUUAAUCUCUCCAUAACCUAGUUUCGUAUUCUCUCUCUUCUUUCAAGAACUCAAUCGAUCCGAGACGCUUCCAGAAAUUUCUGAAACAUCAAAUCCCUUCGAAUUUUCAGAUUAAGUUUCCUUUUCUCUGUUAUUCACCUGAAACCGAUCUGUCUGACGGGUUAGGGUUUCUCGCUCGUAGUCGUCGAGGUACGUCUCUGUCAAUGUUAAGGUUUCUCGCUCGUAGUCGUCGAGUUUUAUAACAUAAACAGAGAGUAAGCCUUCAAGAAGAAGAGACUCUGAACAAGAUUCUUCAAGUGAUGAAGCCUUUGGUGGACGAAAAAAUGAAGGAGAUUAGGUGUGGAUGACAAGCAGUCUGAAUUAGAGCAAAUGACACAACAUUACCUCAAAAGCAAUGAUGAAAACCUGUGAGUGAUCUUUGUUGGGCUUUGACUCCGCUUCACACUCUCUCUCUAAGGUAAAUUUCUCUCUAUGUCUUAGACUUUCCCGUUUCAUUUUGAAAGCGCUUUUAUUCCGGUUUUGUUUUGAGAUUCUUGACAUUUUUUAAAUCAGGAUUCCUUUUGAUUCUUCUUUUAAUAGGACCUUUAAAGCUUUUUUUGUUUUCUUAUGGUUUUAUCAGAACCAAGAUAUUAUGUAGACGUUCUUCUAGUGUUCUAACAAAUCUUGUUUGGCCACUGUUUUGAUUUUGGUUUUGUUUUUCAAACCCCAAAAGAGAUCAUAGACAGACACUAAUCUAAUAGUGUUCUGUUAGAUUCUUAUUUGGGAACAUUGUUUUGUUUUUAUUUUUCAAACCCCAAAAAAGAUCUUAGACAGACACUAAUAGUGUUCUGUCCGUUCUUAUUUGGGAACAUUGUCCCUUGCUGCCUCUAGAAGAAACUUAUGCCAUCCCCUAUAGUAAGAUUGUUAAUUGGACCGAGAAUAUGGGUUGGUAGUGCAUGUAUAAAGAAGGAUGUUAGGGGAUGGCAAAUAAGAGCAUUCGACUCAGUCUUAAAGACAAAAAAGUUUUAGUACCCACGGCUUGAGAAGAAUCUGUUUUCAGUUUACAUGCAUGGUUGCGGUUUGAGAAAGACUGACUAUAACUGAAAACAGAUUCUUUACCCACGGCUUACAAAUGUCUUGACAAAGACAAAGACAAUAUGAGGGGGCUUAAGACUUGUUGGAUUGGAAAUAACGACCAACAGCCCAGAAAAAGUGGCAUCUAGUGGAUGGAUAAUAAUACCACAUGGCUUACAAGCCUUUAAAGACAAGACUUUUACUACCCACGGCUUGAGAAGAAUCUGUUUUCAGUUAUUAGAAUUGUUGCGGUUUAAGAAAGUCUAAAGACAUAGGCUAUAAUUGAAAACAUAUUCAUUACCCACGGCUUACAAAUUCCUUCCUUACCCACGGCUUGAUGAGAAUCUGUUUUCAGUUAUUUGAACAAAGUCUAAAGACAUAGACUAUAACUGAAAACAGAUUCAUCAAGGGCUUACAAAUGUCUUGACAAAGACAAAGAUAAUAUGAGGGGGCUUAAGACUUGUUGGAUUGGAAAUAACGACCAACAGCCCAGAAAAAAAAGCAUUAGUGGAUGGAUAAUAAUACCACACGGCUUACAAGUCUUAAAGACAAGACUUUAAGUACCCACGGCUUGACAAGAAUCUAUUUUCAUGGUUACGUUUUGAAAAAGUCUUAAGACAAAGACUAUAACUGAAAACAGAUUACUUACCCACUGCUUAUAAAUGUCUUGACAAAGACAAAGAAAAUGUAGGAGAUUUAAGACUUGUUGGAUUGGAAAUAACGACCAACAACCCAUAAAAAAAGGCAUUAGUGGAUGGAUAAUAAUACCACACGGCUUACAAGCCUUAAAGACAAGACUUUAUACCCACGGCUUGAUGAGAAUAUGUUUUCAGUUAUUGGAGUGGUUACGGUUUAAGAAAGUCUAAAGACAUAGACUAUAACUGAAAACAGAUUCAUUACCCACAGCUUACAAAUGUCUUGACAAAGACAAAGAAACUGUAGGAGGUUCAAGACUUGUUGGAUUGGAAAUAACGACCAACAGCCCAGAAAAAGUCAUUAGUGGAUGGAAAAUAAGACCAUACGGCUUACAAAUCUUAAAGAAAAAGACUUUUACGAGAAUCUGUUUUCAGUUAUUUGAAUGGUACAGUUUGAGAAAGUCUUAAGGCAAGGACUUUAACUGAAAACAGAUUCCUUACCCACGGCUUACAAAGAUUCACUACCCACGGCUUGAUGAGAAUAUGUUUUCAGUUAUUUGAAAGGUUAUGGUUUGAGAAAGUCUAAAGACAAAGACUAACUGAAAACAGAUUCCUUACCAAUGGCUUACAAAUUUCUUGACAAAGACAAAGAAAAUAUGGGAGGUUUAAGACUUGUUGGAUUGGAAAUAACGACCAACAGCCCAGGAAAAUGUCAUUAGUGGAUGGAAAAUAAGACCACACGGCUUACAAGUCUUAAAGACAAAAGACUUUUACGAGAAAGUCUUAAUAUAAGGACUAUAACUGAAAAAAGAUUCCAUCCUUACCCACAUCUUACAAAAAUUUACUACCCACGGCUUGAUGAGAAUAUGUUUACGGUUUGAGAAAGUCUAAAGACAUAGACUAUAACUGAAAACAGAUUUCCGACCCACGGCUUACAAAUGUCUUGACAAAGACACAGAAAAUAUAAGAGGUUUAAGACUUGUUGGAUUGGAAAUAACGACCAACAACCCAGAAAUUCAUUAGUGGAUGAAAAAUAAAAGACCACACGGCUUACAAGUCUUAAGACAAAACACUUUUACUACCCACGGCUUGACGAGAAUCUGUUUUAGAUUAUAUGGAUGGAUAGAGUAAUGACCAACGACUUAAGAAGAUCUCAAGACAGAGACUACUAAUUGAAAACAGAUUCCCUAUUUCACUACUCAUGGCUUACAAAAGGCAGAUCGGUAAAAAGACUUGUUGGAUGGAAACAUAAUAUGAAAGACAAUGUCAAUGGGGCAGUUCUAAGCUUUGCUGGAUGGAAGUUAACGACCAGCUGCUUAGAAAAAGUUGUUUGAGGAUGGCAACUAAAACCAAAUGGCCUAUAAGUCUCAAGGCAAAAGACUGCGAUUUACUACCCACGGCUUCACUCCUCAUGGCUUACAAAAAAAGACUUGCUGGAUGGAAAUUAACGACCAGCUGAUUGUAACAAGUUAUCAAGGGUUGGCAGAUAAAACCAAACGGCUUUAAGCAUUAGAAGGAACAAGGUAAGCUUUGGGAAUACUAUGCAAGUAAAGACUAAUUAUUUUUAUUUUCUCAGGUUUGUGCUUCAGAAGGAGCAUGUUGUUUGAGAGAUUCCGAGGAAAUUUCAAGUGUAGCAGACUUAUGCAACAGGGUUGUGCUUCAGAAGGAGCAUGUUGAUUGAGAGAUUCUGAGGAAAUUUCAAAUGUAGCAGUUCUGCGACAGGUAUUUUGCUUUUCAAACCUCUUAACUUGCUUGACUCUAGAAACUAUACGGAUUAUAUCCACUAAACCCUUUGUUUAACUUUCUGAAUUUGGGGGAGUGACAUUCACGUAGUCGUAUUACUAAAUUUGGCUGUCGUAUGAGCUUCCUACAUUUCGCUUUCUGCAUUCAUUUGGUUGUUGUAUGCACAUUUUGCAUCAUAUCUUUACACUUCUGCUUUUUAUAUUUUACAAUACAUUCUGAAUCUACUACACUUAUGCAUUGAGCGUCUAACAUUUUGCAUCAUGUCUUUACACUUCGGCAUUCUAUAUUUUAUCACACAUUCUGUAUCUUACAAUACACUUGUGCAUUGAGCGUCCUAUAUUUUGUGUUAUGCUUCAUGUCUUUACACUUCUGUGUUCUUCAUUUUAUAUUUUACAAUACAUUUACUUCGGCGUUCUAUAUUUUAUAAUACAUUAUGUAUCUUACAAUACACAUGUGCAUUGAACGUCCUACAAUUUGCGUUAUGCUUUCAUGCCUUUACACUUCUGUGCUCUUCAUUUUAUAUUUUAUAAUACAUUUUGUAUCUUACAAUACACUUGUGCAUUGAGCGUCUUAUAUUUUGCAUUAUGCUUCAUGUCUUUACACUUCUGUGUUCUUCAUUAUGCUAAAUUUGGAUGUUUGAACACUUAUGGCAUUCCUCAUCGUGAUUCAUAUAUAAGAUUAAUAUAUUCUAUUUUUUAAAGGCUAUCCAUUAGCCGUACAUAGUUGAUGAGUUUCUGGAAAUCUAUUGAAUAAUGGUGUAU
Molecule: long non-coding RNA, 4227 nt
Organism: Raphanus sativus (radish)
Lineage: Eukaryota; Viridiplantae; Streptophyta; Magnoliopsida; Brassicales; Brassicaceae
Exons: 5
Source: RefSeq, a predicted model, not a curated record